AGCGAACGCUGGCGGCAGGCCUAAUACAUGCAAGUCGAACGCACCUUCGGGUGAGUGGCGGACGGGUGAGUAACGCGUGGGAACGUGCCCUUUGGUUCGGAACAACACAGGGAAACUUGUGCUAAUACCGGAUGUGCCCUUCGGGGGAAAGAUUUAUCGCCAUUGGAGCGGCCCGCGUUGGAUUAGCUAGUUGGUGGGGUAAAGGCCCACCAAGGCGACGAUCCAUAGCUGGUCUGAGAGGAUGAUCAGCCACACUGGGACUGAGACACGGCCCAGACUCCUACGGGAGGCAGCAGUAGGGAAUCUUGCGCAAUGGGCGAAAGCCUGACGCAGCCAUGCCGCGUGAAUGAUGAAGGUCUUAGGAUUGUAAAAUUCUUUCACCGGGGAAGAUAAUGACGGUACCCGGAGAAGAAGCCCCGGCUAACUUCGUGCCAGCCGCCGCCGUAA
This 447-nucleotide ribosomal RNA is filed under the name uncultured bacterium. Its description in RNAcentral is "partial 16S ribosomal RNA". It matches the Rfam family "Bacterial small subunit ribosomal RNA", at positions 29 to 523 of the family's 1533-position model. The record is from RNAcentral.